Molecule: unclassified non-coding RNA, 318 nt
Filed under: uncultured fungus
Lineage: Eukaryota; Fungi
Description: partial contains 5.8S ribosomal RNA and internal transcribed spacer 2
Rfam family: 5.8S ribosomal RNA (bases 1-133)
Source: RNAcentral
UGGUUCUGGCAUCGAUGAAGAACGCAGCGAAAUGCGAUAAGUAAUGUGAAUUGCAGAAUUCAGUGAAUCAUCGAAUCUUUGAACGCACAUUGCGCCCCUUGGUAUUCCGGGGGGCAUGCCUGUUCGAGCGUCAUUAUAACCCUCAAGCUCUGGCUUGGUGUUGGGGCACACCGUCCGCGGUCGCCCUCAAAAUCAGUGGCGGCGCCGCCUGGCCCUAAGCGUAGUAACAAUCCUCGCUACAGGGUCCCGGCGCGUGCUUGCCAUGAGCACACAACUUUUUCUAUGGUUGACCUCGGAUCAGGUAGGGAUACCCGCUGA